CCUACGGGAGGUAGCAGUGGGGAAUAUUGCACAAUGGGGGAAACCCUGAUGCAGCAACGCCGCGUGAAGGAAGACAGUUUUCGGAUUGUAAACUUCUGUUCUUAGUGAAGAAUAAUGACGGUAGCUAAGGAGCAAGCCACGGCUAACUACGUGCCAGCAGCUGCGGUAAUACGUAGGUGGCAAGCGUUGUCCGGAUUUACUGGGUGUAAAGGGCGUGUAGCCGGGUUGACAAGUCAGAUGUGAAAUCCUGCGGCUUAACCGCAGAACUGCAUUUGAAACUGUUGAUCUUGAGUACUGGAGAGGCAGACGGAAGUCCUAGUGUAGCGGUGAAAUGCGUAGAUAGUAGGAGGAACACCAGUGGCGAAGGCGGUCUGCUGGACAGCAACUGACGGUGAGGCGCGAAAGCGUGGGGAGCAAACAGGAUUAGAUACCCCAGUAGUC
RNAcentral lists this ribosomal RNA (441 nucleotides) under uncultured bacterium. Its description in RNAcentral is "partial 16S ribosomal RNA". It matches the Rfam family "Bacterial small subunit ribosomal RNA", at positions 338 to 795 of the family's 1533-position model. The record is from RNAcentral.